Schizosaccharomyces pombe (fission yeast) is the source of this 451-nucleotide non-coding RNA. The record is from the annotation of a GenBank genome assembly. Lineage: Eukaryota; Fungi; Ascomycota; Schizosaccharomycetes; Schizosaccharomycetales; Schizosaccharomycetaceae.
GACAAAUCCCCUGGAUAAGUCAGAUGUAUUAGCACGUUCUGCACCAAAAUUAGAAUCGAACGAGUUCAUAGCAUCAGAGGAAUCACACUCAGUGUUAAUUAAUGAUUGCUUAAGCGGCUCACGAGAAUAAGUACGAUAUUUCGCGCCUAACCGUGUUAAUUUAAAAGGAACAGGUUUUGUUCGAUCGUGUCCCAUUGAAUUGAGUAUAUCGUUACCAAUAGGCCAUAAACGAACAUGGUGAUCCUUGGACCAAGUGAUCAAUUGAAAAUCUCUUAAAUCUCUAUCAAAUACAUCUUCGCCUCGACACCUCCAAAGAAAUUCUUUAACUUGAUCGGUAUGACCGGCAAAUCUAUGUACAGCACGGGGGCCUUCUUUGUCUAAAUUACGACAAUCGUACAUGUGUACGGAAUUGUCUCCUCUCUGAGGCAUCAAAAUAACUCCGUCCCCGAAU